Molecule: long non-coding RNA, 465 nt
Filed under: Gossypium barbadense (sea-island cotton)
Lineage: Eukaryota; Viridiplantae; Streptophyta; Magnoliopsida; Malvales; Malvaceae
Description: long non-coding RNA (GBAR_LNC003717)
Source: RNAcentral
UCCUGUUUCACAAGAAUUCAAAUAUCACACAAUAUGGAAUUCUUUUUCUUCCUCUAUUUCUUUCAUGUGAAAAUAGACUCAUUAAGCUUUAAUCCCAUAUUUUAUUCUGCCUCUAACUCAUUUUCCACUAUUUUUAGUGUAUUUUCAAAGUUACACUACUGCAGUAACUCAAAUCUGUCAAGGCUAAAUUACUCAUUCAUGAUCAUUGUUCACAAAAUUAAUAUAACAUCGUUUGUAUAAUCAUCACUGAGACAUUCAUAUCACAUUUUCAUUUACCAUCUUACCAUAUUGUUGUUAUGUCGAGUUUUCAACCCGAGCGUUAAGUACAUACCUGUUCAAAGUAUCCAUUUCACAACAUUUACCAAUACGUCCCUUUCAUCUCGAGUAUUCCUCCAUUUGAGUAGAAUUUCACCCGUUGAACACAUCGGAAUAUAAUUCGGAUACAUGGAAAGUUUGCACAUAAGU